This 209-nucleotide non-coding RNA is filed under the name Foraminifera environmental sample. The record is from RNAcentral. Lineage: Eukaryota; Foraminifera.
UAUCAUUGAGAUCGUGGACAACUCGAUCAAGUACGGCAGCAAACGGCAAAUCAGCAAACGCACAUUUGAGUUCAAGUGGAACUCGUAUACGUGCAUCAUGAGCAAGUCGCUCAAGACCAUCUUGGAUGUGACGCUGUCGACGGAUGCCGAGAUCAUCACGGUGCACCCUGACGUGGUCUCCAUCAUCAGUAAGAAGUGCCCGCAAUUGG